RNAcentral lists this ribosomal RNA (567 nucleotides) under uncultured archaeon. Its description in RNAcentral is "bacterial SSU rRNA". It matches the Rfam family "Archaeal small subunit ribosomal RNA", at positions 311 to 879 of the family's 1478-position model. The record is from RNAcentral.
CGCGAAUUCGCCCUUGGGGUGCAGCAGGCGCGAAAACUUUACAAUGCUGGCAACAGCGAUAAGGGGACCUCGAGUGCCAGGAUACAAUCUUGGCUGUCGCGAUGCCUAAAAAGCAUUGCAUAGCAAGGGCCGGGCAAGACCGGUGCCAGCCGCCGCGGUAACACCGGCGGCUCGAGUGGUAACCGCUAUUAUUGGGUCUAAAGGGUCUGUAGCCGGCCGGAUAAGUCUUUUGGGAAAUCCAGCUGCUCAACAGUUGGGCUUUCAGAAGAUACUGUUCGGCUCGAGACCGGGAGAGGUGAGAGGUACUUCAGGGGUAGGGGUGAAAUCUUGUAAUCCUUGAAGGACCACCAGUGGCGAAGGCGUCUCACCAGAACGGAUCUGACGGCAAGGGACGAAAGCUAGGGGCACGAACCGGAUUAGAUACCCGGGUAGUCCUAGCCGUAAACGAUACUCGCUAGGUGUCAGCCACGGUGCGACCGUGGUUGGUGCCGUAGGGAAGCCGUGAAGCGAGCCACCUGGGAAGUACGGCCGCAAGGCUGAAACUUAAAGGAAUUGGCGGGGGAGCAC